GAUGAACGCUGGCGGCGUGCCUAAUACAUGCAAGUCGAGCGAACGGACGAGAAGCUUGCUUCUCUGAUGUUAGCGGCGGACGGGUGAGUAACACGUGGAUAACCUACCUAUAAGACUGGGAUAACUUCGGGAAACCGGAGCUAAUACCGGAUAAUAUUUUGAACCGCAUGGUUCAAAAGUGAAAGACGGUCUUUCUGUCACUUAUAGAUGGAUCCGCGCUGCAUUAGCUAGUUGGUAAGGUAACGGCUUACCAAGGCAACGAUGCAUAGCCGACCUGAGAGGGUGAUCGGCCACACUGGAACUGAGACACGGUCCAGACUCCUAGGGGAGGCAGCAGUAGGGAAUCUUACGCAAUGGGCGAAAGCCUGACGGAGCAACGCCGCGUGAGUGAUGAAGGUCUUCGGAUCGUAAAACUCUGUUAUUAGGGAAGAACAUAUGUGUAAGUAACUGUGCACAUCUUGACGGUACCUAAUCAGAAAGCCACGGCUAACUACGUG
This 497-nucleotide ribosomal RNA is filed under the name uncultured bacterium. RNAcentral describes it as "partial 16S ribosomal RNA". It matches the Rfam family "Bacterial small subunit ribosomal RNA", at positions 28 to 507 of the family's 1533-position model. The record is from RNAcentral.